Molecule: long non-coding RNA, 10399 nt
Filed under: Marmota monax (woodchuck)
Lineage: Eukaryota; Metazoa; Chordata; Mammalia; Rodentia; Sciuridae
Source: RNAcentral
CCAUCAUCUCUCAAUGAGGUGGAGCUACUGCCCUUGAAAGGUUAUUUCCCUUCUAAUUGGCCUACUAACAGUAAGUAUUACCAUGUGUAUCUUAAUUUGUAUUUUAAAAGGUUGAUAGACAUAUGAUGAACUUUGAGCACUAAUGCUAACUAACUGUGUGUGGGAUUGUUUAAAGCCAACAAACCGAUGGUGUUUAAAGCUAUAGUGGUUUCUCCUAUUAUAUGCAAUGAGUUUCUGAAAAUGUGUAUGAAAAUUUAAUACAUCAUUAUUUCUGGGGUUCAAGUCCCAUAGGGCAAGCAAUAUAAUGAAAUCUUGAAUCUUCAUUUAAGCAUUAGGUUAAAGUUGAAUUUUAUAAGUUUAUAUUUGACUUUUUAAAAGUACAAACAAUAGGCGUACAAAUGAGAAUUUUUUCAAAGAACUUCUUGCAUCAAGUUCUAAUCCUUAUGGUUUAUUUGAAAAUAUAUUUAGUGAAUAAUUUAUUUUCACCUUGGGAAGGUCCUGAAGAUUUUAGGUUGAAUUGAGCCAGAAGAGUAUGAUUUUUGCUUUGAGAAUAUCUUAUUUGUUUUGAAAAAUUAUUAAUAAGGCAGGCUACCCACCAAAUUUUUCUUGUAAUAAAGAAACUUUUAGUAAGUUGAAUUCAUAUUUAGUUCUAUGAAUCUGUAAACUUAUCUGUACAUUUUGAUCUCUUAAUGAUUUCUAAUAGUUGAAUUUGGUUCAUAACUGAUCCAGACAAAGCAUUUAAUGACAUAUUCAUAUUAUUUCAUAGUUGCUUUUAGAUUUUGAUUUUUCCUUUUUUAACUGAACAAACCUAGUCCAACCAGCAUAAAUCUAAUAAAAAACUAAUAAACGUUUAUCCUUCUCAUAUGGAGAUUUUCAUAUUUGUUGCAGUUAUUUACUUACCAGUAUCAGCAUGCUAAUUUCCUGUUUUCCAUAUAUUUUAAUAAAAUAAUUAAGAAAGACAUGCAAGAGAAUAUUUUAAAAUUACACAAGUACUUCCGUACAGCUCAACUGGUAUGCUGAUUAAAGAGAACUGCUGGCCAUCAAGCAGUGCCUCAGUGCACUAACUCAAAACAGGUGUUCUUAUUCAUUUACUGAUAUGCAGAACUCUAAAUUUGAUUUAAGUUAUGCAAUUUAUGUAUACUCAUAGAAAGAGAAUGAGUAGAUAGCAUAGUAAUUCAAUGGAUAGAAGUUCACAGACAUUUCUGCAUGUACUUAAAGGUUUAUUUUAUGUCAUGAUUAAUUUAAUAGUUGAACUCUGAGGUAUAAAGACAUUUAAUCCAGUUUUUUAUGUGUCAUUUUAUUUUCAUCAAGUGUUCAUUUUCUCAUCUUCUUUAUAGCAGUGGUCCAUGCAUUAUUAGUUUGUAAUGCCAGCACAGAGCUGACGACUUUGAAAAAUAUUCAAGACUACUUUAAUCCAGCUGCUUUACCUCUAAUGCCAUAUUUGUUAACAAUGUAAGUCAUCAUUUAUCUUUGGGUUGUUGGUAUUAAAAAAUGAUAACUGAAAGUGAAUAUAAAAAUACAAUAAAAGUACAUUAUUUAAAUUUUACAAAUAAAAGUUUAAUUAUUUUUUAGAAUAUGAAAUUACUGUCAUUAAUUAGAAGAGAAAGGGGGUAGGGGACACAGUUCAAUGAUAGAAUACUUUCUUAGCAUGCACAAGUCCCUGAGUUCUAUCUCCAAUACAUCCCCCCACACAAAUAAACAAAAUUUGAAAAAAUAAAAAGAGAAAGGGAAAUAUGCAAAAUUUACCAUUUAUUUAUUUAUUUAUGUAUUGUGGUUUGGGCUAAUAAAUAAGUACUGUGAAUUUUUUCUCUGUAUCAAGGGAUAAUAUUCUAAAGAUCUUUGGAGUGAUGAUUUAAUAAUUCAUCUAUAGUUUGAUACUGUAUAUUAUUUGGCAUUUAUAAGAAUUAUUUUACAGCUUGCAUACAGUGCAUAUGUCAAUACUGAUUUUAUUCUUUUUUUUUUUUUUUGGUACCAAGAAUUAAACUCAGGGGUGGUUAAGCACUAAGCUACAUCCUCAGCCCUUUUAAUUUUUUUUAUUUGAGAAGGUAUCUCACUGAGUUGCUUAGGGCCUUGCUAUUUGUUUUUUUUUUUUUUUUUAAUAUUUUUAAUUUUUUAUUGUGGGUUGUUCAAAACAUUACAAAUUUCUUGACAUAUCAUAUUCCACACUUCGAUUCAAGUGGGUUAUGAACUCCCACCUUCACCCCAUACACAGAUUUCGGGCCUUGCUGUUUGUUAAGAUUGGCUUUGAACUUGUGAUCUUCCUGCCUCAGCCUCCCCAGCCUUUGAGAUUAUAGGCAUGCCCCACCAACUUGACUUGAUUUUAUUCUUUGUUUUUUAAUUUUAAUUUUUUUUAGUGUUUAUUUAUAUGCUGUGCUGAGGAUCAAACCCAGGCCCUCAAACAUACCAUGCAAGCACUUCAGCCCUGAUUUUAUUCUUAACAUUACCAGUUAAUUUUUCAAACACCAAGAUCCUUUUUAAAAAAUGGAAAGUUAUAGUGUCCUAAAUGCAUUCAAAUAAUAGAAAAAGUCCAUUUUUCCAAUUUGGAUUGUUAUUACUCAUUUGGAGUGUUUUGCUUUUCUCAUGCCAAUGAAAUUCUAGGUAAAACAUAUCCUUAUGGAUUACUAUAUGUAGUAUGAUAAUCUGACUUGGAUCUUAGAGUAGAAUAAGAUAUUGAAGUUAGGAAACAUAAAAUGUGAAAGAAGACUGUAGUUUAAUAGUAAUGAACAAAUGUUGGUCUUUUGGUAUUGACAAAUAUUUCUUGGCACUGUAAAAAGUUAACAUAAGGGGAAGAAGUGGGUGAGGAAUAUUUAGGAAUACUCUGUUAUCUUUGGAACUCCAGCAAAUAAAAAUUCCAAAAUAAAAAAAUUAUAUUAAAAAUUGCAAGUUUAAUUAAAUUUACUUAAAUAUUAUAUUUCGUAAUAUCCUAGUCAAAACAAAAGAGAUUUAUGGUUAAUUAAAAAAUAUCCUUAUGGUUCCAUUAUUUUUUUGUGCAAUUGAAAUGAAUUGAACCUUUAUAGAAAUAGAAAUAAAAGCAUUUAUAUAUUUUCAGUUUUACCUGAAAUAAACACUGUUAAUUAUCUGAUUCUUAACAGUGCUGAGUUUUGGGGAAACAUUUUAAUAUUUGUAUAUAUCUAUCUGUAUUUGAAAUAAUUAACUUCCUCAUGUUGUUGAAGAUUAUAUAAAGUAAUGUGUAAAAUAUGUAGACUCACGACACAGAUAGGAAAUAUUGAACAAAGUUUAGUCUUCUUGCACACUUCUCUAAGUUGAGGCUGGUAUCCAUAUGUCCUCCCCAUCUUACCCACAAAAUGUUUUCUGUGGUGUUUAUAAAAUGAAGGCCAGUUGUGAAUAAGUUUGUGAUUUGUUGCCUUUUUACUAGGUCUCCGUCAACUACAGUUAGCAACAAGAGAGAAAAUAAGAGAAAAUUUAUCCCACCAGCCUUUGCAAAUAUCAGUACAAAAUUUGAACUACUUAGCCUGGGAGAAACAUUGCAGUUAGCUAGUGAGUUAAUUCAGACACACAAGUUAAACAAGGACCAAGCUACAGCUCUAAUUCAGAUAGCUCAAAUGAUGGCAUCCCGUGAAAGUGUUGAAGAAGGGAAGGAACUGCACACCCAUACCCUCCCUAUCACAGUCAUACAUGGUAAGAAGCAAGAAAACAGUCCUAGUAAAUAUAUUUUUAUGUAAACUUAUAUAAGGUAAUCUUUUCGUAAUAUCCUAGUCCAGAAUAACUGUGAGUAAAUACUUUUAAACUUGAACCCAGAACCCACUUGAGUAAACUGUUAAAUUAGAGCACAUCUGACUACCUUGAAACGAAAAAUUGGUAGCAUAUCUGAUGAAUGGUCAGCAUUAUUUAGUCAUUGCUAAAGAGUCCAGAUUGGUCUAGAUAUCUGUGUAUUCUUCUGUUAGACUGGACUUCAAUCCUUAUCAGCAAAGCUUAUAUUCCUACUCUGUUUAUUCUUUCAUCUUCCACAGCAGCUAUUCCAGAACUUCCUUGUUCUCAUAACCCCAUCCUUGCCCCUCCUCCACCCCUCUGAAAUUGAUCUUGCCUCUAAAAUAGGAAUUAAAUUUGUAACAGAAACUUCUUUUAAUGUCCUGAGCUCCUUCAAUUUACGUAAGUUUAGACUCAUUCUUACCCUUUUUUUUGCUCUGUCCAGGUGAAGGGAGCUCUAUUUUCUUUUAUUCAGAAUUAAUACCUUUCUCUGUAUUUUGGCUUCUGUGUAGCUCAUUUCUCCAUAGGUUAGUUCUCUACUUAAUCUUCUACUUUCUUACUGUUUAUCUUUCCACAUCAGAACAAUCACUGAGGUGGGUCCCAUCUGACUGCUUGCUAUCCAUCCUUCAUAAUGAUUUUCUCCUUCCAGUUUACUUGAAUCCACACAUUCCAGUCCAUCAUCAGAUCUCCACGUGGCCUACUCGGUGGAGGGUAGUCUCUAGAGCUAGAAUUCUGCCUUUGGCUCUUUCAUUUAUUAGCUAUAUGAUCUUGAACACAUCACUUAUCUCUUAGCUUUAAUUUCCUGCUCUGUAAAAUGGAAAUGAUAACGGCAUCUACCUCAGAGGGGUGGGGGAUUAAAUAACUCAACGUAAGUGAAUGCUUAGAACAGUAUCUGGCACAAUGGAAUACGCUUAGUAAAUUUAGUAUUUAUUACGUUGGGAUUAUCUCACACAAUUUUCUUAUUGAUCCACCUUUAGGUUUCCUUUCUCUGUAUUUGUUUAUUUAUUUAUUUUUUCUAAUACUACCGCUGAGCUAUGUACACAGCCCUUUUUGUUUUUAUAUUGAGACAGGGUCUGAAUAAGUUGCCAGGGUUGACCUUUAACUUGCAAUAAAUACUCCUGCCUCAGACUCCAUUAAUUCCAGAGUAGCUGGGAUUAAAGGCAUGCACCAUGAUGCCUGGCUCCAAAUAGUGUUUUCAAAAACUAUCUGAGGGCUGGAGAUGUAGCUCAGUGUAGGGCACUUGCUAAACAUACACACACACACACACAGACAAUUUGAUAAGUCAGUUAUAUUGCUUAAAAUCCUUCAAUGACUUCCACUAACCUUUAAGAUUCAGAUUUUUCAGUCAUAAAAAACAUAUGUUUAACCUCUUGUGAUUUGUCCCUUGCCUCAUCUCUUGCCUGUUUGCUAUUUAUAGAAAUUCUUAAAGUUCUUUUACAAAAUUUUUAAUAGCUACGAACUCUGUUGUAACAUCCCCCUCUCCACCAAAGGAGAUGUUCUUCUUUCUCUGAUCCCAUAACAGUGUUACCAUAUUCUUUUGUAUUAUCUCUUUAUCUGCUUAUCCUAUUAGGUUGACUGUGGUCUCAUUAAAGGUAGAAGUAUUUUGUUAAUUAUUUAGUCAUUCCAUAGUGGGCAGUCAAUUUUUUCAAAUAAUUAAAUAAAGGAGAAUGUGACAGAUUAAAUAUUUCUUGUACUUUCAGUAAUGUGUUUAUUAUAUCACUUUAAUUUUUUCUCUUUCUUUAAAAUAAUUAGGUGUUUUUGGAGCAGGGAAGAGUUAUUUGCUGGCAGUGGUGAUUUUGUUCUUUGUACAACUAUUUGAAAAGACUGAAGCUCUUACAGUUGCAAAUACAAGGCCAUGGAAACUUCUGAUUUCUUCUUCCACUAAUGUAGCUGUUGACAGAGUACUUCUUGGGUAGGUAUGACAAGUGUAUUUGAGUAGCUGAUGUUUUAGGUUAUUGUUGAGAGAGGCAAUCCACCACAGGCCCUGAGUUUCUAUGUACAUCCUUGGUGGGUAUGCCAAGUACUCAAGGCUAUUGUCUUAUACCCAGAAGCUAGCAUCUGUGCUAAGUAACAAGCUAAACUAUUAAUUAAUAAGUAGGAUUGGGCUGGGGAUGUGGCUCGAGCGGUAACUCGCUCGCCUGGCAUGCACGGGGCGCUGGGUUCGAUCCUCACCACCACAUAAAAAUAAAAUAAAGAUGUUGUGUCCACUGAAAACUGAAAAAUAAAUACUAAAAAAAAUAAGUAGGAUAAAAUCAAAUACCAAACCUGAUAAUUUUGGCAUCAAGAUGAGAUAUUCAUGGGCCUGGAGGUGUAGCUCAGUGACACAGCACUUGCCUACCAUGUGUGAGGCACUGGGUUCCAUUCUUAGCACCACAUAAAAAUAAAUAAAUAAGAUAUUGUGUCCAUCUACAACUUAAAAAAAAUAAAAAAGAUGGGGUAUUCAUAUAAAAAUUCAGUUUCAAUUAACACGCAGGGCUACAUUGUAUUGCGGGGGAGGUAAUCCACCGUGGGCAUUUCUCAGGGUAGUCUUUAUAGCAAGCAGUUUUAACUGAUGAGUUAAUAUUAUCCUUCAGGACUAAGAACUUGCCUACUACUUGUUUUUAAAGAUAGUGGAUCUCCCAUCUCAGUGUUCUUGUCCUCUAACUCAAUCCACUGCAGGUGCAGUUAUCCAUGGGGAUACUCUUCAUCUUCCUAUGAAACUUGGGGACAAAGGGAUUCAAAUACUAUGAUAUCCACAUUGCUUUCUGUGCCAUGGGUAAAAGUCCUUUCUGACCCAUGAAUCUUGGGUCUGUUACCUUAGAAGUAGACUAAAAUCUCAGAACCAACAGUCUGGGAUUCAACAAUAUCUUAUUCAUCUGCCUUAAAAUAUGCACUAUUAACAAAGCUGAACAGUUUAAGUAGAUUAUGUUUUUAAUUUCAGUGAGAGGGAUCCAAAGAAUACAGUAGCAUUCUAUUCUGCAGAUAUCAAAUUUUUGUGAUUGCAUAAGAUUUUAAAAAUGCAAAGAAAAUUACACAGAAUAUUUUACAUUUUUAAUUUUUCACCAAAAAACUUUGUCAUUUUAUGAGUUUUAAUAGGAGAAAUAAUCCAUUAUUUACAAGUCUAGUCUUCUUAAAAACUAACUUUGUUUUCUCUCUGUUUUUAUGGUACUAUGGAUUGAACACAGAGCCUCAAGCAUGCUGCUAGACAAGCGCUCUUCCACUGAUCUACAUCCUGAGUCCUAAAAAUUUAACUUUUAUAAUCACAUAAAUUAAUGCUAUGGUUAAAAUAUGCAGAUUUUGUAGUUUAUAUUUUGUUACAUUUCUUCACAAUUUUUUUUUAUACAUGUACACUUUCUAAAUGUGGGAUCUAACAAUAUGCAGUGUUCUGUGUCUUUUUUUUUAUUUAAAAGUUAUUUCUCUGUGGCAUUACAUCUUAGAAAACAUAAUUUUUAAUAAUUCUAUUAUAUUCAGUGAUUUUCUUGUACCAUUUAAACAAUUUUGAUCAAUAAGUUCUUUCCAAAUUUUUACCAUUAUAAAUUAUAUUGUGGCAAUGAUCCUUCAAUAUAGAUCUUUAUCAUACUCUGAUUCUUUCCUUAGGAAACAAGCCUAAGCCAAGAAUAAAAGAUGGGAACAUAUUUAAAUUUUUUAAUAAAUUUUGCAAAAUUGCCCUUCAGAAAAGUUCUACCAUUGUGUAGAUUUAUGAGAAAUUUAAGAGUAGCUGAGUAUGACAUUGUUACUUUUAAGAUACUGAGAAGUUAUCUGGGGACUACACAGGAAAGAACAUUACAUUGCUAAACCUACAAUAAAAAUAUCAGAGUAGACUGUUAGAAAACCAAAAAAAAAAAAAAAAAAAAAAUCAAGAAGUUAGAAUGAAGGGUAAGUACUAAAUACUAAAAGGAAACACUUAAAAGAGAUUCUUUAAUGUUUGAGUCUUUAAAAAGGACCUGAGAAAUGUAAGUCUGUAAUUAGAAUUGUUGCCUCAGCCACAGAUAGGCUGAACCUAUGUAUCUCUUCACAGUAAGAUAACAUUUUUGUUGUGCAUUUGAACAGACAAUAUAUUUUGUUAUUGUAAUGGACAGGAUAGGACAAAGUUUCUUGAGAAGAAAUGAAGAAGUAUGGGUAAAUACACAUACGUUUUACCCUGUGGUAGCAGUAGGUUGAGGAUACUGUGCCCUUUAUUGUUACAGAUUUAACAUAAACAUAUUAAAAACAAUGUAAACUAGUAUUUCAGACUGAAAGUAGCUGACUUCUUUAUAAUGAGGACUAUGAAAAAUUAAAAAAAAUGAUAUCUAUUUAUGUAUUGACACUAAAUAAAUUUCUUCAUAAUUAUUAUUUUUUUAUCACCUGAUUUAAUGAAAUGUAUAAACCAGAGAAAUGUUAAUGUAACAGGUUAUUUCUAAUAAAACUAAGAUAAAUACUUUGAAAGACUCAAUAAAGGCAAGCUGGCAGAAAUAAAAUACCAGAAAUAAAAUCAAAUUAGGUGCUGAGGAGAAGUGGUAAACAUUUGAUGGAGAAAAUAUAAGCCUAAAAGAAUCCUUCACUGGGAGUGUUUCCCAGAUGAUGAUGAGUAGUUUAUUAGUUCUAAUCAGUUAUACAUGACAGUAGAAAGUUCUUUAAUUCAUUGUACACAAAUGGAGCAGAAUUUUUCACUUCUCUGGUUGUACAUGAAGUAGAAUCAUACCAUUCAUGCUAUCAUACAUGUACCUAGGUUAAUGAUGUCUGUCUCAUUCCACCAUCUUUCCUACCCCCUUGCCCCUUCUCCCCAUCUCCUUUGCCCCAUCCAAAGUUUCUCCAUUCAGCCCAUGACCCCCCACCCCAUUAUGGAUUAGCAUCUACUUCUCAGAGAAAACAUUUGCCCCCUGUUUUUUUGGAAUUGGAUUAUUUCACUUAGCAUGAUAUUCUCCAACUCCAUCCAUUUACCUGUUAAUGCCAUAAUUUUAUUCUCUUUUAAUGCUGAGUAAUAUUCCAUUAUGUAUAUAUACCACAGUUUCUUUAUUCAUUCAUCUAUUGAAGGGCAUCUAGGUUGUUCCACAGUUUAGCUAUUGUGCUGCUAUAAACAUUGAAGUGGCUGCAUCCCUGUAAUAUGCUGUUUUUAAGUCUUUUGGAUAUACACUGGGGAGUGGGACACCUAGGUCAAAUGGUGGUUUUAUUUCAAGUUUUCCAAGGAAUCUUCAUAAUGCUUUCCAGAUUGGUUGCACCAAUUUGCAGUCCCACCAGCAAUGUAUGAUUGUGCCUUUCCCCCUCCAUAUCCUUGCUAAUACUUAUUAUUGCUUGUAUUCUUGAUAACUGCCAUUCUGACUGGAGUGAGAUGAAAUCUUAGUUUUAAUUUGCAUUUCUGGGGCUGGGGUUGUGGCCUAGCGCGUGCGAGACCCUGGGUUCGAUCCACAGCACCACAUAAAAACAAAUAAAAUAAAGGUAUUAUGUCCAACUACAACUAAAAAAUAUUAUUUUUUAAAAAAUUUGCAUUUCUGUAAUUACUAGAGAUGUUGAAUCUUUUUUUUAUAUAUUUGUUGAUCGAUUGUAUAUCUUCUGAGAAGUGUCUGUUCAGCUCCUUAGCCCAUUUAUUGAUUGGGUUGUUUGUUUUUUGGUGUUAUUUUUGAAAACUCUUUUUGGAGGGCUAUAGUUGCUUUCGUCCUCCAGGUCUUUAAAUUCUCACUUUGAGGUGGUAGAGGUGUCUUAGAGGAUAUGAUAUUUAUUGAGCACCAACUCUGUUCUUAGCAAACAGCUAUAGCUAUAAGUAAGAGGGACGGGUAGAUGAAGGUACCUUCCGCACAAAGCCCUAGUCAUGGAUAAUGUAUAUAGGAUAAGAUCAUAGCCUGUGGACAUAUACAGGCCAGCCUGGUUUGAAUCAUGGCUGAAUUCACUUUUUAAUGAUGUGGCCUCAGUAAAGUUAUUUUAACUUUGAGCUUCAUUCUCCUCAUCUCUUUUUUUUUUUUUUGAUAGCAGGGAUUGAACCCAGGGGCACUUAACCACUGAACCACGUCCCCAGCCUUUUUUUAUAUUUUAUUUAGAAAUGGGGUGUUGCUGAGCCUGGCUUUGAACUCUCAAUCCUCCUGCCUCAGUCUCCCUAGCCACUAGGAUUACAGCGCCGCUGUGCCCAGCCAUUGACCUAAUCUUUAACAUGAGAUAAUGUGUAGAGCAGUAGUGAGUAUUAAUUGAGAUAACAUAUAUAAUGAAGCUCUUCUUCUUAAAUCUUGAUGCUAAAUAUAUGAUAUCUGUUGCUUUCCAUAUUACUAUAUUCAGGGGUAAUUUUAUUUGUGACAAAUACUGACAUUGGUGUUUUACAAAUAUUAAAUGAGCCCUCAGCAGAAAAUAAUAAAUAUUUAAAAAAUCUCUAUAAAAUGGCACUGGGGAUGUAGCUCAGGGGUAAAAACACUUGCCCAGCACGCACAAAUCCCUGGGUUUUAUCACAAUCACUGCAAAAGGGAAAAAAAUAUAUAUAUUAACAGAAAUCUCUACAAAAUGUGUUUUAUAAAAGAAUUCUUUUAACUGUGUAGCAUUUACUUGAUUUGACUUUAGUAAUUUUACAUUAAAUUAUAUAACCCUAAAAUAUACUGUUAUACAAAUAAGUUUUAAUAUAAGUAUUAUAUGAAACCUAGUUUUAUAUUUCAUCUUGUAAAUAAUAUCUAUUUUAUUUUGUUUCUUUAAAGCCUUCUCAGCCUUGGAUUUGAAAAGUUUAUCAGAGUUGGGAGUGUAAGAAAGAUUGCCAAAC